UCCUUUUAAUGAAUAAGUUAUCUUUUGCUUAAUUAACAUUUAUAAUUCUUUAUGGUGGUCAAAUCUUGCAUCUCAUUUCCCUAUCGUCCAUUCUCUCUCCUCCUCCUCCUCCUCCUCCUCCUCCUCCUCUCUGUCUAUCUUCAUCCCUUCCUUCCUUUUAAUGAAUAAGUUAUCUUUUGCUUAAUUAACGUUUAUAAUUCUUUAUGGUGGUCAAAUCUUGCAUCUCAUUUCCCUAUCAUCCAUUCUCUCUCCUCCUCCUCCUCCUCCUCCUCUCUAUAUAUAUAUCUUCAUCCCUUCCUUCCUUUUAAUUAAUGUCUAAGUUAUCCUUUGAGUGACGUUCUUUCUGGUGGUCAAAUCUUGCAUCCUAUUUCCUAUCGUCCAUUCUCUCUCUUCCUCCUUCUCCUCCUCCUCUGGCUAUCUUCAUCCCUUCCUUCCUUUUAAGUAAUGUCUAAGUUAUCUAUCGCUCAAGGUUCCUUCCAGUGUGUUUGUGGUGCCCGGCUCUGCUUGCUAGUUUGUUUUGUCACUGUAUAAUUGUCAAUCCUAGUUUUUGUCAUUGUAUAAUUGUCAAUCCUAGUUUUUGUCACUAUAAUUGUGAGUCCUAGUUUGCUUUGUCACUGUAUAAUUGUGAGUCCUAGCUAGUUUUGUCACUGUAUAAUUGUGAGUCCUAGUUUGUUUUGUCACUGUAUAAUUGUCAGUCCUAGUUUGCUUUGUCCUUGUAUAAUUGUCAGUCCUAGUUUGCUUUGUCCCUGUAUAAUGGUCGGUCCCAGCCAGGCGCCUCUUCCAUGUAAAGAUCUCGGCAGCUUCAAGCCUUGCCGAUAUCUCAAUCCGUACGUGAAUGUAAAUUAACCGAAAUCCUUGUUACUAAGCCCUGCACGGUGCUCUCUCACAUAAUGCUUCUUUAAAUUUUCAGUCUCACUUAAUUUCCGGGGUUAGUAAUAUAUUUUGCCAUAAGUUAACUCCCCGUGAUGGCCAGUGUCAUGUACUAUAUAUAAGUAAUUUGCCUUUUGCAUGGCUAUAAUUCUGCAUCCAUGUCUAAGGCCCAGUUUCACAGUUCCUCAUGAUGGGUUAGUAAGCUCCGAAACCAAUACCAGAGCCUUCGAAAUUUCCUUGUACGGUGUCUGGAGUUUAUAUUCAAGUUCACAAAUUUGACGAGACUAUACAGGAAAGGUCUUGUGUGUUUAUGGUACGAAGGAAAGGGAGGAGAAGGGAGAUGAGAUUGGGAGACGAGUGAGCUGAGAUCCUGUUUAUAUUCAAGCUCACAAAUUUGACGAGACUAUACAGGAAAGGUCUUAUAUUGUCAUGAUACGAAGGAAAGGGAGGAGAAGGGAGAUGAGAUUAGGAGACGAGUGAGCCGAGAUCCCGUUUAUAUUCAAGUUCACAAAUUUGACAAGACUAUACAGGAAAAGCUGUGUUUAUGAUAUGAAGGAAAGGGAAGAGAAGGGAGAUGAGUAAGCUGAGAUCCUGUUUAUAUUCAAGUCCACAAAUUUGACGACACAGUACAGGAAAAGCUCUUUGUAUUUAGUGUGUCAUCGAAGACCGCGCCAUUUUGAACAGUAUGGGAUUCUAUAGCUUGGUUCGGGAGUGUUACAAAGACCAUGAUGGACUGUGGAAGCGGCCCUUAAUGUUCCCUUUUCUAAUAUGCCUCUCUGUUUUUGCAGGAUGCCGCGGACGGACCAUGCAGAGGACUCAUCGCGACGACACCAACGGUUUGGUUAAGUGGGUUCUUUUGUGUGUGCGUCUGUGUGUGAAUGGCAGGCCUGUCGUAUGAUUGUGUGUGUGUGUGCGUUGGCGUUAUGCCUUCGCACUAUUAUUUUGUUAGGAUGUAUUUUUUUGUGUGUGAACUUUUUGCACGUAAUCUUUUUUUAUACCCAUAGCUAGCGUUUGUUUGUGUGGCAGUGUUCCGGGAGAUGGACGCCGGGGGACAUGGGCUUGGGGAGGCGCACAUGACCUCCUCUGUCCGUGACCUCUUCAGCUGGGGAGACCGUGUGUUGCCCCGCCUGGAGAGACACGUUGAUGGAGGUGGCCGUGUGUGUCACCCUUUGCCUGUAUCCUCUGGCGUCCAGAGGCGCGUAAGUGGAGAGCAUCGGCGCAGCGCGGGAGCAGCACGUCAGGGUGUAGGGUGUUUGUUUAGCUGGUGUAGGGUGUUAGGGUGUUAGGUGUAACAACGGUUGGCUCUUUCACAGAACGGGUGUGAUUCCGUUCUGCGUUUGAGUCUUCCACCUUCAGACGGUCUCCCUCCGAGAUGUCUGAAGUUUUUUUUGUCGGUUUUCUCCGUAGGAGGAAGCCGACUCUAGCUACUCUGGCCUCUCUUCCGGGGG
Molecule: long non-coding RNA, 2318 nt
Organism: Eriocheir sinensis (Chinese mitten crab)
Lineage: Eukaryota; Metazoa; Arthropoda; Malacostraca; Decapoda; Varunidae
Exons: 4
Source: RefSeq, a predicted model, not a curated record